This 221-nucleotide long non-coding RNA is filed under the name Phoenix dactylifera (date palm). Its description in RNAcentral is "long non-coding RNA (PDAC_LNC014068)". The record is from RNAcentral. Lineage: Eukaryota; Viridiplantae; Streptophyta; Magnoliopsida; Arecales; Arecaceae.
GUGGACCAAUUGCACUCACAUCCACUAGAGGAGACUGUUUGGGAGAGGAUCCGGAUAGCUAUCCGCUUUAGAUUUCUCACGGAUCCGCCAAAAUGCACCCACCAUUCAGCUGCAAAAAUAUUUAUGAAAAUUACAUAUAUGAUAGUUCCAUAAUAGUAACUAAGUAACACCAGGUGAAUGUUUUCCUGAUGUGUCACGUACCUGGAUUCAUAUUGUGUUUG